RNAcentral lists this ribosomal RNA (1383 nucleotides) under Escherichia coli. RNAcentral describes it as "partial 23S ribosomal RNA". It matches the Rfam family "Bacterial large subunit ribosomal RNA", at positions 1557 to 2916 of the family's 2925-position model. The record is from RNAcentral. Lineage: Bacteria; Pseudomonadati; Pseudomonadota; Gammaproteobacteria; Enterobacterales; Enterobacteriaceae.
UGAGGCGUGAUGACGAGGCACUGCGGUGCUGAAGCAACAAAUGCCCUGCUUCCAGGAAAAGCCUCUAAGCAUCAGGUAACAUCAAAUCGUACCCCAAACCGACACAGGUGGUCAGGUAGAGAAUACCAAGGCGCUUGAGAGAACUCGGGUGAAGGAACUAGGCAAAAUGGUGCCGUAACUUCGGGAGAAGGCACGCUGAUAUGUAGGUGAAGUCCCUCGCGGAUGGAGCUGAAAUCAGUCGAAGAUACCAGCUGGCUGCAACUGUUUAUUAAAAACACAGCACUGUGCAAACACGAAAGUGGACGUAUACGGUGUGACGCCUGCCCGGUGCCGGAAGGUUAAUUGAUGGGGUUAGCGCAAGCGAAGCUCUUGAUCGAAGCCCCGGUAAACGGCGGCCGUAACUAUAACGGUCCUAAGGUAGCGAAAUUCCUUGUCGGGUAAGUUCCGACCUGCACGAAUGGCGUAAUGAUGGCCAGGCUGUCUCCACCCGAGACUCAGUGAAAUUGAACUCGCUGUGAAGAUGCAGUGUACCCGCGGCAAGACGGAAAGACCCCGUGAACCUUUACUAUAGCUUGACACUGAACAUUGAGCCUUGAUGUGUAGGAUAGGUGGGAGGCUUUGAAGUGUGGACGCCAGUCUGCAUGGAGCCGACCUUGAAAUACCACCCUUUAAUGUUUGAUGUUCUAACGUUGACCCGUAAUCCGGGUUGCGGACAGUGUCUGGUGGGUAGUUUGACUGGGGCGGUCUCCUCCUAAAGAGUAACGGAGGAGCACGAAGGUUGGCUAAUCCUGGUCGGACAUCAGGAGGUUAGUGCAAUGGCAUAAGCCAGCUUGACUGCGAGCGUGACGGCGCGAGCAGGUGCGAAAGCAGGUCAUAGUGAUCCGGUGGUUCUGAAUGGAAGGGCCAUCGCUCAACGGAUAAAAGGUACUCCGGGGAUAACAGGCUGAUACCGCCCAAGAGUUCAUAUCGACGGCGGUGUUUGGCACCUCGAUGUCGGCUCAUCACAUCCUGGGGCUGAAGUAGGUCCCAAGGGUAUGGCUGUUCGCCAUUUAAAGUGGUACGCGAGCUGGGUUUAGAACGUCGUGAGACAGUUCGGUCCCUAUCUGCCGUGGGCGCUGGAGAACUGAGGGGGGCUGCUCCUAGUACGAGAGGACCGGAGUGGACGCAUCACUGGUGUUCGGGUUGUCAUGCCAAUGGCACUGCCCGGUAGCUAAAUGCGGAAGAGAUAAGUGCUGAAAGCAUCUAAGCACGAAACUUGCCCCGAGAUGAGUUCUCCCUGACUCCUUGAGAGUCCUGAAGGAACGUUGAAGACGACGACGUUGAUAGGCCGGGUGUGUAAGCGCAGCGAUGCGUUGAGCUAACCGGUACUAAUGAACCGUGAGG